GACGUAGGGAGCGAGCGUUGUCCGGAUUCAUUGGGCGUAAAGAGCGCGCAGGCGGUUUGGUAAGUCGGAUGUGAAAACCCGGGGCUCAACCCCGGGCGUGCAUCUCGAUACUGCCCGACUAGAGGUAGGUAGGGGAGAUCGGAAUUCCUGGUGUAGCGGUGAAAUGCGCAGAUAUCAGGAGGAACACCGAUGGCGAAGGCAGGUCUCUGGGCCACUACUGACGCUGAGAAGCGAAAGCAUGGGGAGCGAACAGG
RNAcentral lists this ribosomal RNA (254 nucleotides) under uncultured bacterium. Its description in RNAcentral is "partial 16S ribosomal RNA". It matches the Rfam family "Bacterial small subunit ribosomal RNA", at positions 524 to 776 of the family's 1533-position model. The record is from RNAcentral.